GACUCGUCACACUAUCAUUAACUGAAUCCAUAGGUUAAUGAGGCGAACCGGGGGAACUGAAACAUCUAAGUACCCCGAGGAAAAGAAAUCAACCGAGAUUCCCCCAGUAGCGGCGAGCGAACGGGGAGGAGCCCAGAGCCUGAAUCAGCAUGUGUGUUAGUGGAAGCGUCUGGAAAGGCGCGCGAUACAGGGUGACAGCCCCGUACACAAAAGCGCAUGUGCUGUGAGCUCGAUGAGUAGGGCGGGACACGUGGUAUCCUGUCUGAAUAUGGGGGGACCAUCCUCCAAGGCUAAAUACUCCUGACUGACCGAUAGUGAACCAGUACCGUGAGGGAAAGGCGAAAAGAACCCCGGCGAGGGGAGUGAAAAAGAACCUGAAACCGUGUACGUACAAGCAGUGGGAGCACCCUUUGGGGUGUGACUGCGUACCUUUUGUAUAAUGGGUCAGCGACUUAUAUUCUGUAGCAAGGUUAACCGUAUAGGGGAGCCGUAGGGAAACCGAGUCUUAACCGGGCGUUAAGUUGCAGGGUAUAGACCCGAAACCCGGUGAUCUAGCCAUGGGCAGGUUGAAGGUUGGGUAACACUAACUGGAGGACCGAACCGACUAAUGUUGAAAAAUUAGCGGAUGACCUGUGGCUGGGGGUGAAAGGCCAAUCAAACCGGGAGAUAGCUGGUUCUCCCCGAAAGCUAUUUAGGUAGCGCCUCGUGAAUUCAUCUCCGGGGGUAGAGCACUGUUUCGGCUAGGGGGCCAUCCCGGCUUACCAACCCGAUGCAAACUGCGAAUACCGGAGAAUGUUAUCACGGGAGACACACGGCGGGUGCUAACGUCCGUCGUGAAGAGGGAAACAACCCAGACCGCCAGCUAAGGUCCCAAAGUCAUGGUUAAGUGGGAAACGAUGUGGGAAGGCCCAGACAGCCAGGAUGUUGGCUUAGAAGCAGCCAUCAUUUAAAGAAAGCGUAAUAGCUCACUGGUCGAGUCGGCCUGCGCGGAAGAUGUAACGGGGCUAAACCAUGCACCGAAGCUGCGGCAGCGACGCUGAUGCGUUGUUGGGUAGGGGAGCGUUCUGUAAGCCUGCGAAGGUGACCUGUGAGGGU
Molecule: ribosomal RNA, 1095 nt
Filed under: Salmonella enterica subsp. enterica serovar Heidelberg
Lineage: Bacteria; Pseudomonadati; Pseudomonadota; Gammaproteobacteria; Enterobacterales; Enterobacteriaceae
Description: partial 23S ribosomal RNA
Rfam family: Bacterial large subunit ribosomal RNA
Source: RNAcentral